GAUGAACGCUGGCGGCGUGCCUAAUACAUGCAAGUCGAGCGAACAGACGAGGAGCUUGCUCCUCCGACGUUAGCGGCGGACGGGUGAGUAACACGUGGAUAACCUACCUAUAAGACUGGGAUAACUUCGGGAAACCGGAGCUAAUACCGGAUAAUAUAUUGAACCGCAUGGUUCAAUAGUGAAAGACGGUUUUGCUGUCACUUAUAGAUGGAUCCGCGCCGCAUUAGCUAGUUGGUAAGGUAACGGCUUACCAAGGCAACGAUGCGUAGCCGACCUGAGAGGGUGAUCGGCCACACUGGAACUGAGACACGGUCCAGACUCCUACGGGAGGCAGCAGUAGGGAAUCUUCCGCAAUGGGCGAAAGCCUGACGGAGCAACGCCGCGUGAGUGAUGAAGGUCUUCGGAUCGUAAAGCUCUGUUAUUAGGGAAGAACAAAUGUGUAAGUAACUAUGCACGUCUUGACGGUACCUAAUCAGAAAGCCACGGCUAACUACGUG
RNAcentral lists this ribosomal RNA (497 nucleotides) under uncultured bacterium. RNAcentral's name for it is "partial 16S ribosomal RNA". It matches the Rfam family "Bacterial small subunit ribosomal RNA", at positions 28 to 507 of the family's 1533-position model. The record is from RNAcentral.